AAUCCAGGAAAAUCAAGUUCCAUAAACAAUUAAACUCCCAAUUUUCAGCUGAUUAUUUGAUUGGAAACAAUUAAAAGACAAAGACAAAGAUAAACACACACACACACACAUUAACAAUUAACUGAAAUCAUGGUUAAAUCAAAUUUAAUUGUCUCUCUCAUGGUCUUAUCCUCAAUCCUCCUCAUUUUAAAUCCAUUGGUUUCAUGUCAUGUUAAUUCAAACGACGAUACAGAUUUGAGGGAUCUUUAUGAUCUCUUUUUGAGAAAUGAGAAUCAACAAGCUGACCAGUAUAAUCGAUUUGGUCAUCAGAUGGAGAGGAAAGGAGGACGAUCGCCAUCACUUAGACUACGAUUCGGUCGACGAGCUGACCCACUUUGGUCCAAUCGUCCAUCCAUGGCUGAGAUUAAUAGUGCUGAUGUGUCAAAGAAAUAGACGAUUAAUUGUGAAUUAUUGUUGAUUAUUUAUCUCCACUAAUCAACAUUGAAUUUUGAUUUGACAAAACAAAACGAAAAACAAAAACACUACUAUUACUAAAUUGUUUACCUUUUGAUUGUGAUUGUAAUGUAAAGCAACUGAUAGGAAUUGAGAUGAAAAUCAAAUUACUAAUCAUGAAUGAUAAUCAACGCACAGAAAAAAAAAACAAAACUAAAACAAAACCUAAUUGUGAACAAAACUGUUUGACUAAUUAACAAACUUGAGAUGAUGAAAUUUGAACAAACGAAAACAAAUAAAAAACUAAAUGAAAUCAAUCAUUUUUAUUAAUCACUGUUAAUAUAUAACUCUAAAUUGUUAUCCUUUUUAGUUAAUUACUUUCUAGGGAUAUUAAAACAAUCAAUAUUUGCUUUUUUUUGUUCAUCAUCUCAUCAGACUAAAAAUUAAAUCAUUAUUUCCGCUUCCUUGAUUGUGUUCAAUCAUUUUCACUAAUAAUCAACAAUCACAAAACAUUGUAAAAGAUUCAAACAUUCAACUGUUCAAUUGUACCAAUUUUAGUUAAUUUGAUUUAUAUUUUCUUUCAGCUUUUUGGUUUCCAUUAAUAAACUGCUAAUUGUUAGUUAAACUAAUGAAACAAUUAAAAGACACUCACAGUUACAGUUAAUAGAAA
Long non-coding RNA from Panonychus citri (citrus red mite), 1102 nucleotides. RefSeq lists it as uncharacterized. The record is from RefSeq and is a predicted model, not a curated record. Lineage: Eukaryota; Metazoa; Arthropoda; Arachnida; Trombidiformes; Tetranychidae. The transcript is spliced from 2 exons.